ACGAACGCUGGCGGCGUGCUUAACACAUGCAAGUCGAACGGAAAGGCCCUGCUUUUGUGGGGUGCUCGAGUGGCGAACGGGUGAGUAACACGUGAGUAACCUGCCCUUGACUUUGGGAUAACUUCAGGAAACUGGGGCUAAUACCGGAUAGGAGCUCCUGCUGCAUGGUGGGGGUUGGAAAGUUUCGGCGGUUGGGGAUGGACUCGCGGCUUAUCAGCUUGUUGGUGGGGUAGUGGCUUACCAAGGCUUUGACGGGUAGCCUGCCUGAGAGGGUGACCGGCCACAUUGGGACUGAGAUACGGCCCAGACUCCUACGGGAGGCAGCAGUGGGGAAUAUUGCACAAUGGGCGGAAGCCUGAUGCAGCAACGCCGCGUGCGGGAUGACGGCCUUCGGGUUGUAAACCGCUUUCGCCUGUGACGAAGCGUGAGUGACGGUAAUGGGUAAAGAAGCACCGGCUAACUACGUG
RNAcentral lists this ribosomal RNA (467 nucleotides) under uncultured bacterium. RNAcentral's name for it is "partial 16S ribosomal RNA". It matches the Rfam family "Bacterial small subunit ribosomal RNA", at positions 29 to 507 of the family's 1533-position model. The record is from RNAcentral.